Molecule: ribosomal RNA, 97 nt
Filed under: Staphylococcus argenteus
Lineage: Bacteria; Bacillati; Bacillota; Bacilli; Caryophanales; Staphylococcaceae
Source: RNAcentral
GAGGUCACACCUGUUCCCAUGCCGAACACAGAAGUUAAGCUCCUUAGCGUCGAUGGUAGUCGAACUUACGUUCCGCUAGAGUAGAACGUUGUCAGGC